RNAcentral lists this ribosomal RNA (250 nucleotides) under uncultured bacterium. Its description in RNAcentral is "partial 16S ribosomal RNA". It matches the Rfam family "Bacterial small subunit ribosomal RNA", at positions 524 to 773 of the family's 1533-position model. The record is from RNAcentral.
UACGAAGGGUGCAAACGUUGCUCGGAAUCAUUGGGCGUAAAGCGCACGUAGGCGGCCCUGUAAGUCGGAUGUGAAAUCCCUCGGCUCAACCGAGGACGUGCAUCCGAAACUGCAGAGCUCGAGUAUGGAAGAGGGUCGCGGAAUUCCCGGUGUAGAGGUGAAAUUCGUAGAUAUCGGGAGGAACACCAGUGGCGAAGGCGGCGACCUGGGCCAAUACUGACGCUGAGGUGCGAAAGCGUGGGGAGCAAAC